Molecule: long non-coding RNA, 237 nt
Filed under: Capsella rubella
Lineage: Eukaryota; Viridiplantae; Streptophyta; Magnoliopsida; Brassicales; Brassicaceae
Description: long non-coding RNA (CRUB_LNC003385)
Source: RNAcentral
UUAUGUUAAAUGAAACCGGGUGCUUUCUGCUUUUACUAGCUUUUUAUUUUUAUUUUUAUUUUUCUAAUCAAGAAGUUCUACUUUAAUUACCGGAUCAAUAACUUAUGAAUUAAGAUUAUCCGAUUUCCUCUAAACUCUACAGCAUAACUCUAGAUUCGACCCGAUUGAGCUAACUAACGACUCUACAUUUGUUAUUGUUUUUGACAUAUGAUUAAUUCUCCCAUUACAGAAUUCAAC